UACAGAGGGUGCGAGCGUUAAUCGGAAUUCCUGGGCGUAAAUCGUGCGUAGACGGUUAUUUAAGUCGGGUGUGAAAGCCCCGGGCUCAACCUGGGAAUUGCAUUCGAGACUGAAUAGCUAGGGUACGGUAGAGGGAAGCGGAAUUUCCGGUGUAGCGGUGAAAUGCGUAGAUAUCGGAAGGAACAUCAGUGGCGAAAGCGGCUUCCUGGACCAGUACCGACGUUCAGGCACGAAAGCGUGGGGAGCAAACAGG
This 253-nucleotide ribosomal RNA is filed under the name uncultured bacterium. Its description in RNAcentral is "partial 16S ribosomal RNA". It matches the Rfam family "Bacterial small subunit ribosomal RNA", at positions 524 to 776 of the family's 1533-position model. The record is from RNAcentral.